GGGAGAGGACAGAGUGGCCAACGGACGCCAAGCUUCAGAGUAACAGAGGCUCGACUGCUGAUCCGGCAGAGUGGUGUUGGUAAUCUUUCAAGGGGAGAGAGCAACCAAAACUGUAUUAGGGUCAGCAAAGGAAGUCUUUAUCUGCAAUUCCAGGCCGCUCUACGUGAUUUGUGGACGCUGUAAUAAUAAAUCUCCUUAAUGACUAGUAGGAAAAUAAAUACUAAUAACAAAAACAAAAUAACCUCACAAGAUAAGGAUUACUUAAGGAAGUGAACUGAAGAGAACGAAAACUAGCAAUUAUUCUCUUUUGUGCCUUCUGAAUUUUGAACUGAUGUCAAAAAAACUUUCAUCUGAUGAUGAAAGUACUCUUUAAAGCGAAAACUGUACUUGUUGGAAGUAACAAGAGUCCUACGGAUCGUGUGAGAUAAUGGAGACGACUUUUUUUUUUUUUCAAUCUACUUAAAUGUAAUGAACAAUCUUAUUAAGAAAAGUAUACUAACAGGGAAGCUUUUAACAGUAGAUUUGCCAUAUUGAGCUGGACUCCUUUGCUUCAGGAAAAAAGAUGAGGUAAUCACCUAUCUUUAAACUGUUAAAAUUAGAGUCAAAGAAAACACACUUGAAGUGGCAUUUAAAUGACAAUAAUAAAUUUGUCAAAUUUGUUUCUCUCUUUUGCUUUGAAAAAAAGAUAUUCUUGAAAGGCAAUUUUGUAAGUAAAUAGAUUUGCUGUCAUAGUAAAUCC
Molecule: long non-coding RNA, 739 nt
Organism: Prionailurus viverrinus (fishing cat)
Lineage: Eukaryota; Metazoa; Chordata; Mammalia; Carnivora; Felidae
Exons: 2
Source: RefSeq, a predicted model, not a curated record